UAGCAAUACGUGGCAUACGGCUCAGUAACACGUAGUCAACAUGCCCAGGGGACGUGGAUAACCUCGGGAAACUGAGGAUAAACCGCGAUAGGUCAUAAUAUCUGGAAUGAUUUCUGGCUUAAAUCUAUAUGGCCCCUGGAUUGGACUGCGGCCGAUCAGGCUGUUGGUGAGGUAAUGGCCCACCAAACCUAAAACCGGUACGGGCUCUGAGAGGAGAAGCCCGGAGAUGGGCACUGAGACAAGGGCCCAGGCCCUAUGGGGCGCAGCAGGCGCGAAAACUCUGCAAUAAGCGAAAGCUUGACAGGGUUAUUCUGAGUGAUUUCCGCUAAGGAAAUCUUUUGGCACCUCUAAAAAUGGUGCAGAAUAAGGGGUGGGCAAGCCUGGUGUCAGCCGCCGCGGUAAUACCAGCACCCCGAGUGGUCGGGACGAUUAUUGGGCCUAAAGCAUCCGUAGCCGGUUCUACAAGUCUUCCGUUAAAUCCACCUGCUUAACAGAUGGGCUGCGGAGGAUACUAUGGAGCUAGGAGGCGGGAGAGGCAAGCGGUACUUAGUGGGUAGGGGUAAAAUCCGUUGAUCCAUUGAAGACCACCAGUGGCGAAGGCGGCUUGCCAGAACGCACUCGACGGUGAGGGAUGAAAGCUGGGGGAGCAAACCGGAUUAGAUACCCGGGUAGUCCCAGCUGUAAACGA
Molecule: ribosomal RNA, 688 nt
Filed under: uncultured Nitrososphaerota archaeon
Lineage: Archaea; Thermoproteati; Nitrososphaerota
Description: bacterial SSU rRNA
Rfam family: Archaeal small subunit ribosomal RNA
Source: RNAcentral